Herpailurus yagouaroundi (jaguarundi) is the source of this 924-nucleotide long non-coding RNA. RefSeq lists it as uncharacterized. The record is from RefSeq and is a predicted model, not a curated record. Lineage: Eukaryota; Metazoa; Chordata; Mammalia; Carnivora; Felidae. The transcript is spliced from 3 exons.
AACAGAGGCCUGAUGGGGCCAUGAACUCUGGCUGGGAUGUGAUUUUAUGGAAGCAGGAGUUGGUGAUCAUUUAUCAAAAGGAGCGAUCUGAAACUUUGCAUCUCAAUGGGGUGAUAGAAAACAGUGUGGCAGAAAUCCACUUCUCUUAUCAGGGAGCCCCGAAAGAUGCUUCCAAGAAUUCAUGAGCAUUUAUAUCAGCAUUCUUCUACAAUCACAGGAGGAAGGAGAGAAGACAGGAGCUCGGAGGUUCAUCAAUUGGGAAACUGAACUGAAUGCAGAAUUCUUCCCAUAGCAAGUCAUGUUAUCCACGCAAGCAGCCCCAUGGACAAGGGCGAGGCGCUACAGUGGUUACAACGGCAGACAGCACAGUGGGUCCAGACACACCACAGAUCAUUGCCAGCCCUGCGCGGGCAGCUACUUGGCCAUGUUCCUGGCCCUGAACCACACCGAUGAGCUGACCUUCACAUUAGCUAUUGUUUUCCAGAGAAAACUGGGCCUAUGCAUGUUGUACAGACGACACGGAUUUAUGUCUGGUUUUGGAAAAAAUAAGUUCUAGCAUGCACUCUACUGAAAAUAGGCCGGUUGCCGGAGCUUCAGGUCUUUUCACUGUUGUUCUGUGAAAAACCGGAGCAAAUGAUGAGUUCUCAACUCUUUUGCUAUGGGCCAAAAAUGGAAGAUGUCUAUAAAAGCGCCUCCCCGAUAUAAGGAAGUGACGCUGGUUCUAGGAGGAAGAGAAGACGGGCUUCCUAGAGGUUUCAGAUGUGCUAACUGCCACGUGCACGCAGGAGACCUUAACCUCUGUAGUUUUCAGCCGGAGGUAGUGACUAUCCACGGCACGUAGUAAUCAGAGACAAUAGUAAGCUAGAGAGAAUCACUCCGCCUUGCAGUCUGGCCCUUUCCACAAUCUGAGCAACAGAAGGUAUG